UACAGGGGGUGCAAACGUUGCUCGGAAUCAUUGGGCGUAAAGCGCACGUAGGCGGUUCGUUAUGUCGGAUGUGAAAGCCCUUGGCUUAACCGAGGAAGUGCAUCCGAAACUGGCGAGCUAGAGUACGAAAGAGGAUCGCGGAAUUCCCGGUGUAGAGGUGAAAUUCGUAGAUAUUCGCAAGAACACCAGUGGCGAAGGCGGCUCACUGGCCCGAUACUGACGCUGAGGUGCGAAAGCGUGGGGAGCAAACAGG
This 253-nucleotide ribosomal RNA is filed under the name uncultured bacterium. RNAcentral describes it as "partial 16S ribosomal RNA". It matches the Rfam family "Bacterial small subunit ribosomal RNA", at positions 524 to 776 of the family's 1533-position model. The record is from RNAcentral.